ACAGCUGGAUAGCUCAGUUGGUUAGAGCAUGGUGCUAAUAAUACCAAGGUUUCAGGUUUGAGCCCCGUAAGAGACAGCUGCA
Molecule: transfer RNA, 82 nt
Filed under: Podarcis lilfordi (Lilford's wall lizard)
Lineage: Eukaryota; Metazoa; Chordata; Lepidosauria; Squamata; Lacertidae
Description: tRNA.Ile
Source: RNAcentral